UGAUGUUUAAACGUUAUGUUCUGUUUGCCCAGAGAAACGCGGAGGUGGCUGGCAAUAUGGUGAAGUUCAUUUCUAGCCACUAUGGUAAAAACACCCAAAGCACAGGAGAUGCAGUCCCUCCUGCAGUCAGUCCCACUCAGAAAUGUAUUCCCCCUUCUACCAACAGACCAAAUUUCAACAUGAGCUGGUUAUCAAAAGAUAAAGGGAAAAUACCUGGAGCUCUGAGCUUUACAGCGCCCAACCAAAAAACCACAACAAACUCAAUCAGGCAUAGGUAGUAUAUGUCAGAAAAAAUGUUACAGCUGUAUGGAUAGUUUGAUAAAUAUUUGUAUGCACAUUCUUUAUUUCCUGCAGUAAAGAUGUCUUUGAAUUCAACCUUGACUCUCCUCUCAGUGUUGGGGUAAAUACUUGUCACGUUUGGUAAAUAGUGUCAUUUAAAAACUCAGAUAAUUCAAGUCUCUUUUAUUGUACUUUAGAGGAAGAACAAACCCCCCGCGGAAAUCUCUGCCAUUUCUAGCAGGUAAGGCAGACAGCUAAAAAGUAUGCAUGAUAAUAUAAAUGGACAUUUUCUCAGUUUUAUAUCUUUUUUGUCAUUUAACAGAUCCUCUGUUGUCAGCACAACCAAGAAAGCAAGGAGACCUGAGACUAAAGUAUUCUGCAAUUCUGCAUUUUACCUUACAAUCAUAUAAUCAUAUUUAUCUGCUCAACAUGGAAAAUCAAUAAAUCACUGAAAUCUUUUUAUUUCAGGGUAAACCCAAAAGUAAAAAGCAUUUGUUUAGUGACACAGAAGUGGAAACUACCAGGACAGAGGUCAGCUGGCUGACAGAAUCUAUCAUGAAACCCAAGAAAAAAGUGAAUGAAUAUCAAAGACAAGCUGUCAGAAAACCCAGAGCGAACUCCCUUCAACCUGGGCGUAUGGUUUAAAGCCACAUUUACACACACUCACAUUUUUUCACAUAGACUGAAUGGUAUUAAAGCAAAUACUUACAUUAGGUGAACUUUUUUCCAGAACCGUCUCCAGAUUUGCUCCCACCCACUUUGAAUCCCGUAAAAGUUGAUAAGAAACCCAAAACGGUAAAGUAACAAUACAUGUUAGGAAUGUUCCUUAGACCCAGUAACGCACUAAUGCUCCUGGCCACUAUGUGUCACUGUUGUAUCAGAAGAAUCCUGGUUUGAGGAAGGCAGCGGGUCAACCAAAGGAGGCAAAGAUGGUGAGGUCAACUGCAACCUCCAGCAAACCACAAGAACCUGCUAAGAGACCCAGAAGAGGUGCAGCCUUAACUAGGACUUACAGAGAGCUGCCUAGUGAUGACAGCCUGUCUGAACCAGAGAACGUUCCCACUCCAAAGGCAAGAUCAAUUUCUCCUGCAUGAUUCUGUCACACCACUAAACAACAUGUUUAUUGUUAUUAUGUCUAUGUAAUCAACCUUGAAGAAAUGUUGAUUUGCUCACAGUAU
Molecule: long non-coding RNA, 1457 nt
Filed under: Oryzias javanicus (javanese ricefish)
Lineage: Eukaryota; Metazoa; Chordata; Actinopteri; Beloniformes; Adrianichthyidae
Description: lncRNA (ENSOJAG00000020154.1)
Source: RNAcentral